Molecule: non-coding RNA, 72 nt
Organism: Phthorimaea operculella (potato tuberworm)
Lineage: Eukaryota; Metazoa; Arthropoda; Insecta; Lepidoptera; Gelechiidae
Source: the annotation of a GenBank genome assembly
GCAUCGAUAGGUCAGUGGCAGAGCGGUGGGGCGUUUACCCAUGCGGCCUGGGUUUAAAUCCCGGUCGAUGUA